RNAcentral lists this unclassified non-coding RNA (402 nucleotides) under soil metagenome. Its description in RNAcentral is "partial contains 5.8S ribosomal RNA, internal transcribed spacer 2, and large subunit ribosomal RNA". The stretch from base 3 to 122 matches the Rfam family "5.8S ribosomal RNA", at positions 35 to 154 of the family's 154-position model. The record is from RNAcentral.
AGGAUGAAGAACGUAGUGAAAUGCGAUAAGUAAUGUGAAUUGCAGAAUUCAGUGAAUCAUCGAAUCUUUGAACGCAUCUUGCGCUCCUUGGUAUUCCGAGGAGCAUGCCUGUUUGAGUGUCAUUUAAGUUCUCAACCACAUCAAUUUGUUUUUGAUGCGGCUUGGAUGUGGGGGUUUUCUUGCAGGCAUCUUCAAAGUCUGCUCCCCUAAAAUGCAUUAGCGGUAUCUGAGCAGAAGAAACUACUAUAGGUGUGAUAAUUAUCUACAUCUUAGUAUGCUGCAAAUCAGAUUGCAUUGCUUCUAAAGAGUGGAGCCUCUCUCAUGAGGAGCCACAUUUGAUGAAUUUGACCUCAAAUCAGGUAGGACUACCCGCUGAACUUAAGCAUAUCAAUAAGCGGAGGA